UAUUGAUCAAACCUAAAAUGUAUUUUCCACCCAAAAUUUUAUAAAACGAAUCAAUGAAUUUUGCUAGGUCUGGGGUUUUUGGACCUAAUUAGGUAUUUAGAAAAAAUAUUAUUUUUGUUCGGAUCGGUUUCUUUCAGAUAUGGAUGGUUUCGACUCCAUAAUUCAAAUAUCUAUAAAAUAUAUGUUAUUUUUUGUACGUAACGGGUAUGGAUCCGUUCAGAUAUUUAGGACUUAAAUAAAACUC
This 244-nucleotide long non-coding RNA is filed under the name Brassica napus (rape). Its description in RNAcentral is "long non-coding RNA (BNAP_LNC005792)". Lineage: Eukaryota; Viridiplantae; Streptophyta; Magnoliopsida; Brassicales; Brassicaceae. The record is from RNAcentral.